This is a non-coding RNA of Trachymyrmex septentrionalis, 76 nucleotides long. NCBI's taxonomy places the organism in Eukaryota, Metazoa, Arthropoda, Insecta, Hymenoptera, Formicidae. The record is from Rfam.
ACCUCAGUGGUCGAGUUGGCUAAGAUAUUCGCCCUGGAAAGUUGAGAAGUCCCAGGUUCGAACCCUGGCUGAGGUA